Molecule: ribosomal RNA, 253 nt
Filed under: uncultured bacterium
Lineage: Bacteria
Description: partial 16S ribosomal RNA
Rfam family: Bacterial small subunit ribosomal RNA
Source: RNAcentral
UACGUAGGGAGCAAGCGUUGUCCGGAAUCAUUGGGCGUAAAGCGCGCGUAGGCGGCCUCAUAAGUCCGUUGUGAAAGUCAAAGGCUCAACCUUUGAAAGCCGAUGGAUACUGUGAGGCUAGAGUCCGGAAGAGGCGAGUGGAAUUCCUGGUGUAGCGGUGGAAUGCGCAGAUAUCAGGAGGAACACCCAUAGCGAAGGCAGCUCGCUGGGACGGUACUGACGCUAAGGCGCGAAAGCGUGGGGAGCAAACAGG